AUACGAAGGUCCCAAGCGUUAUUCGGAAUCACUGGGCGUAAAGAGUACGUAGGCGGUUUGGUAAGUCAGGUGUGAAAUCCCGGAGCUCAACUCCGGAACUGCAUCCGAUACUGCCAGACUUGAGUAAUGGAGAGGCAGGUGGAAUUCUCGGUGUAGCAGUGAAAUGCGUGGAUAUCGAGAGGAAGACCAAUGGCGAAGGCAGCCUGCUGGACAUUUACUGACGCUGAGGUACGAAGGCUAGGGGAGCGAAAGGGAGUAGAAACCCGAGUAGUCC
This 274-nucleotide ribosomal RNA is filed under the name uncultured bacterium. RNAcentral describes it as "partial 16S ribosomal RNA". It matches the Rfam family "Bacterial small subunit ribosomal RNA", at positions 523 to 796 of the family's 1533-position model. The record is from RNAcentral.